GACGAACGCUGGCGGCGUGCCUAAUACAUGCAAGUCGAACGCUGAAGAGAGGAGCUUGCUCUUCUUGGAUGAGUUGCGAACGGGUGAGUAACGCGUAGGUAACCUGCCUUGUAGCGGGGGAUAACUAUUGGAAACGAUAGCUAAUACCGCAUAACAAUGGAUGACACAUGUCAUUUAUUUGAAAGGGGCAAUUGCUCCACUACAAGAUGGACCUGCGUUGUAUUAGCUAGUAGGUGAGGUAAUGGCUCACCUAGGCGACGAUACAUAGCCGACCUGAGAGGGUGAUCGGCCACACUGGGACUGAGACACGGCCCAGACUCCUACGGGAGGCAGCAGUAGGGGAUCUUCGGCAAUGGGGGCAACCCUGACCGAGCAACGCCGCGUGAGGGAAGAAGGGUUUCGGAUCGUAAAGCUCUGUUGUAAGUCAAGAACGGGUGUGAGAGUGGAAAGUUCACACUGUGACGGUAGCUUACCAGAAAGGGACGGCUAACUACGUG
RNAcentral lists this ribosomal RNA (497 nucleotides) under uncultured bacterium. Its description in RNAcentral is "partial 16S ribosomal RNA". It matches the Rfam family "Bacterial small subunit ribosomal RNA", at positions 28 to 507 of the family's 1533-position model. The record is from RNAcentral.